CCCAACCUUAUAAUGGCAUUGACGCAAGAUUGAUAAGGUUGUGCUAUAUCCUGAUCAUCUGACUUUUUCUAUGUUAGUUGAUCUUGGAAAUGACUCGCCUAGGU
Molecule: small nucleolar RNA, 104 nt
Organism: Raphanus sativus (radish)
Lineage: Eukaryota; Viridiplantae; Streptophyta; Magnoliopsida; Brassicales; Brassicaceae
Source: RefSeq, a predicted model, not a curated record